UACAGAGGGUGCAAGCGUUAAUCGGAAUUACUGGGCGUAAAGGGCGCGUCGGUGGUUAAGUAAGUUAGAUGUGAAAUCCCUGGGCUUACCCUAGGAACUGCAUCUAAACCUGCUUAGCUGGAGUAUGAUAGAGGGUAGUGGAAUUUCCGGUGUAGCGGUGAAAUGCGUAGAUAUCGGAAGGAACACCAGUGGCGAAGGCGGCUACCUGGAUUAAUACUGACACUGAGGCGCGAGAGCGUGGGGAGCAAACAGG
RNAcentral lists this ribosomal RNA (253 nucleotides) under uncultured bacterium. RNAcentral's name for it is "partial 16S ribosomal RNA". It matches the Rfam family "Bacterial small subunit ribosomal RNA", at positions 524 to 776 of the family's 1533-position model. The record is from RNAcentral.